This is a long non-coding RNA of Prunus avium (sweet cherry), 2516 nucleotides long. RefSeq lists it as uncharacterized. NCBI's taxonomy places the organism in Eukaryota, Viridiplantae, Streptophyta, Magnoliopsida, Rosales, Rosaceae. The record is from RefSeq and is a predicted model, not a curated record.
UCUUGAGGGGGUAAAAUGAUGUUAGCCCUAAUUAGAAUAUUCAUCUUCUUCUUUCUCUCUGUAGUUUUCUUCUAUGUCUCUGUGAUAUCUCUAUUCUAUUAUCAUGGUAUCAAGAGCCAUGGAUCGAUUCUGCGUCUUUCUUCAUUGAUUUUGUGCUUCUCUACCUCGCUUUUUCUUCUCCGUGCCUCUGAUUUCUGCAUCUUCUUCCUCACAUCGGUCUUUUCACAAAACCCUAAUUUUCUCAAUUUCUUGAAUUUUUUUGGCCAGUUUUCUACUUUCAUGGCUUCCUCUCUCAAAAUUGAAAGCCUUCCCGGCAUGCUUACUAUGGGAGCAAAUUCUUCCCACGAAUCCCUAAUUGUGGUAGGAAUCAAAUCAAUUCCAACCUAAUUAGGUAACUCCCAAUUUAAUUGGGUAACUCCCAAUUUAAUUGGGUAACUCCCAAUUAAAUUCAGUAACUCCCAAUUAGAUUAAAUAAUCCCCAAAUUGAAGGAAUUAUUUGACCUAGGGUUUUGAUUUAAUUCAGUUCCCACACUUACCAUUCGCCUUACUGAUGAUAACAUCUUGAAGUGGAGUUGUCAGAUUGAAUCUGUACUUCAAGGUUAUUACCUUUUCAGGCAUUGAUGGCUCUGUCGUUCCUCCUCCCAAAUUCGCCAUUGUUGAUGAAGAAGAGAACACCUCUAAAGCUUACUGCUGCAUAUAAAGAGGGGAUUCGCAUGGACAAGGCUCUCUUGAGUUUGCUUAUUGCUUCUCUCUCCGAUGAAGCCAUCGAGUAUGUUAUUGGAAGCAAGACCGCUCGAGAGGCUUGGCUUAAUCUCUGUGAUCGCUAUGCUUCAGUUUCUCGUGCGCGCAUCAAUCAUCUCAAAACAGAACUGCAAACCGCACAGAAACGUGGUGAUUCGAUUGAAUGCUUCAUUCUUCGUCUCAAACAUAUUCGCGAUCAGUUGAAUGCCGCUGGUGUGAAGAUAUCUUAUUAUGAUUUUACCAUUGCUGUGUUUAAUGGUUUAUCGUCGGAAAGAUUUUCGCACACAUCUUCUUGCUGCUGAAACCACUGCUGAAGCGAGUAUGGUUCGUCAUACGCUACUUUGUACGGAUCUACCUCUGGUUCUUCAAUUGUGGCUCCUCAUUCUGGUCAAGGUAUUUCUGCCUACACCUUAUGUAUAUGCUCCUUGAGCUUUUGAUUCGCGUCUUUUUUCUCACGUGGCUUAUGGUCAUGGCAAGUUCAAUGGAGGUCGUAAUGGCAAUUCUCAGUUUGGUCCAUCCUCUAGAUUUCGUAGUGGGUCGAAUAUUUCUUUCAAGUCUAAUGUGAUGCCGGAAUGUCAAAUCUGCAGCAAGAGAGGCCACAUGACAGCCAAUUGCUAUUAUCGCCACUCCACGCCAUGGAGCUUUAAAUUGUUUUCAGCGAUCGAAUUAUUCCUAUUAGGGUCAAGAUCCACCUUCUUCUUUGACCGCCUAUAACUGCACAGUUUGGUUUUUCUCCUCAGCAAUUUUGGAUUGCUGAAAGUGGUGCCACACAUCACAUGGCAAUACUUCUCAAUUGCAGAAUGUGACUCCCUGUAACACUGAGGAACAUGUUACAGUUGGCAAUGGGGAAGGACAAGAGAAUCAAGACAAUUCUACUUAGGGCCAGAGUAAUCAAGGAUUGUAUCCAAUUCAUGUGGCAGCUAAUCAUUCAUCUGUUAUUUCUCCAUGGAACUCUCCAACUCCAGCAUCUACUGCGUAUAUUGCCGCCGCUUGCUCGGCUUUGUUGACGACACUUCUCUGUGUACUUCUUCGACCAUCCCCGACCCAAAGGCUAAAGCCAAUGAAUCUGCUUCUCCGUCUCUCAUCUCCAACCGAGAGUAUGAUGAUUGGGUCUAGAAAGAUCAGCUUGUUCUCUCUCUCAUCAACGGUUCUCUUCACCAUAAAGUUCUCACCACCGUAGCUUCCAAGACCACCGCCCGUGACACUUGGAUGGCUCUUGAAAAUCGUUUUGCUUCUCCGAAUCAGAAUCGUCUUCUUCAACUUCGCAGUGACUUUCUUUGCCCAACCCAUGGUGACUCUUCCAUCACUGAUUUCCUUGAUCGUAUUAACUCGAUUGCCCAUAAUUUUGCUUUGGCAGGUGCUUUAGUUGCUGACUCUGAUCUCCUUGCUGUGGUUAUGAACAACGUUGGUCCUCUUUAUGAAAAUACCGUUGCUGCUGCUCAAGCUCGUGAGAAACCCAUCAGUAUGCCUGAUCUUGAGGCUCUCCUCUUGUUUGCGGAACGUCACUUGCAAUCCUCUUCUUCUCUAGUCAUCUUUUCUGGUGCAACGGCUUUGUCUAUACAAAAAUAGAAUUGUGCCAAAAAUCCGACAAAGUUUCCUCUGUUUUUAGAGUAAUCCCAAAUUUAUAGCCUGUAUAAAAACAGUUCAAAAUAAGACAUUAGACACUCAUUUCUUCAAGAUAAGAAAGAGAGAAGAAAGAGUGAAGAAGGAGAUGAAGAGAAAUAGUGUUGGACCGAAAAGAGGGAGUGAAUGAAAUAUAGACCUUCGAAAUCUUA